CAGCCGCCGCGGGAAUACGUAGGUGGCAAGCGUUGUCCGGAAUUAUUGGGCGUAAAGGGCUCGCAGGCGGUUUCUUAAGUCUGAUGUGAAAGCCCCCGGCUCAACCGGGGAGGGUCAUUGGAAGCUGGGAAACUUGAGUGCAGAAGAGGAGAGUGGAAUUCCACGUGUAGCGGUGAAAUGCGUAGAGAUGUGGAGGAACACCAGUGGCGAAGGCGACUCUCUGGUCUGUAACUGACGCUGAGGAGCGAAAGCGUGGGGAGCGAACAGGAUUAGAUACCCGCGUAGUCCCUGUCUCUUAUAA
Molecule: ribosomal RNA, 301 nt
Filed under: uncultured bacterium
Lineage: Bacteria
Description: partial 16S ribosomal RNA
Rfam family: Bacterial small subunit ribosomal RNA
Source: RNAcentral